This 26-nucleotide unclassified non-coding RNA is filed under the name Dictyostelium discoideum. The record is from RNAcentral. Lineage: Eukaryota; Evosea; Eumycetozoa; Dictyosteliales; Dictyosteliaceae.
GCAGUAUUCUAGUUCCAUCUUGUAAA